Molecule: long non-coding RNA, 784 nt
Organism: Triticum dicoccoides
Lineage: Eukaryota; Viridiplantae; Streptophyta; Magnoliopsida; Poales; Poaceae
Exons: 3
Source: RefSeq, a predicted model, not a curated record
AUCGCCGGCGUGGAGCAGACCACCGAUCUCGCCUCGCUCUGGUCCAUCCUUCCCUCCAGCAAGAUUUCCCCCUCCUGGCUUCUACCGCUCGCCCAAAAUCCACUCCCGUGCUACGCUUUUUGACUCCGGCACCGCCUUCGUCGUCGGCGCAUCUCCGGCGGCUCUUCUUCGUUGUCUACGGCGCCCCCACGUGCGCCCUCGCCUCCUUAUGGUCCACCUUGAGCAGGGCGGCGCGGAGGAUCUCUUCCCGUAGGAUCCACGGACGAGGCGCACCCUGCAGUUGCCGGUACGGGACGAGGGCAGGCACGGCGAGCUUGUCCUUCUCGAGGAUGAUGCCGGCGAACGUUGGUACUCCUCCUCGUCGACCUCUAAGGAGGAGCGCCAUUACAACAUAAGCACGCCCCGCCGCUGAACCCCCUUCUCCCCCCAUCCGGUGGCGUGCAGGACGUCAGCAAAUCCAGAGGAGUUAAUGCAGAUUCAAUAUCAGAACCAUCAGAAGUUCAGGAUUGGACAUGGUGUUAUUUUGCUCCAGUUUCUUACAGAGUCAUAUAUAUAUUCGUUUGGAGCAUUUUCAACAACAAAGACGUGCGUUAUGAUCACUUUGGUGUGCAGCCAGAAACAUGGGAUGACCCCUAGUUGAUGUUUGACGAGAGCUGGCCUCGGUUGAUUUGGGCGUUACUGGGUGUAGAGUAGCAUAGUGUUCUUUGAGACGUACUUGUAAAGUUAAUGUUUCCUGUGUUUUCUUUUUGCUCCCGUACUGGUAUACUAUUGGUGUAUUUUUGUA